Molecule: long non-coding RNA, 1589 nt
Organism: Numida meleagris (helmeted guineafowl)
Lineage: Eukaryota; Metazoa; Chordata; Aves; Galliformes; Numididae
Exons: 2
Source: RefSeq, a predicted model, not a curated record
CCUCGCCUCACCACAAUCUCCUUUCAGGCAGUUGUAGAGAGCAAUAAGGUCUCCCUUGAGCCUCCUCCAAAACGAACAGUCCCAGUUUCCUCAGCUGCUCCCCAUAAAGUUUGUGCUCCAGACCUUGUCAGGAGCUAGUGUGACUGAGCCGUGAUGCUGCCCUUCGCCUACAGCCGGUUGUCCAUUCUGUGCUGCUCACAUGGACAGAGCAGCCUUUCUGCAGAAGGUGUGCAACGACCGAGUGGAGACCCCGUCCUCAGCUCUACUAAGGAGUUGAAGGAAUAACGGCUGCUGAGAAGAUGGGCUGCCACUACCAGCAAAAAGCAAACCAGCCACAGAAGUGGUUUUGUAACACAAAGGUGUUUGCUGGGAAGCUUCCUCUGAAUGUUGCAUAGUUGCUUUUUUUCCCUUGAAUUGAGAAGCAUCCAAUCAUUUAAGAGCGUGGGGAACAAAGCCUGGGAGUGGGAUCUGGGGCAUAGUUGGAGUAAAAGCAUAGAGCUCAACCUUCUACUGACUUGCAGGCUGUAGAUCCAUCCCUGGCUACGCUCAGCCUUUCCUCCCAGCAUGACUGUCAGAGCUGCCUCCCUUCAGUCUCUCAUGAAGGAAGUCAUAAUAGGAACACAUUUGUCUUGUCAACAUUUCUGUCACUUCUGCUGUUCUCAGGCUCUAAGAAGUCAAAGCUUCUGUUAAAUAGAAUAUAAACUGAUUGUCUAAUGCACUGAGCUGCAUCUUUCUGAGCACUCUAAGGUCUUAGUUUUAUUAAAUCUUAUUUACAAGUGCAAAUUGCACUUAGUACAACAUACUUCCAUCCUUGAAGCUUUGAAGCACUGGGCAACAUGCACUGAACGUUCCCUUUAUCAUGGGAUAUUUUCUGUUGUUUUCAAGCCCUUCAUUUCUAAGGCACACGUAUACAAGGCUGAGAGAAAAGGGUCGAUACGUACAGCAUAGGCAGUUAGUGAAGUUCACACAAACACUCGUUCUUUCUCCCUGCAAAAAGAAAAAAGUUACCUGUCAUAACGCAUUAAAAUUCUUCUACAAGAAGAGUGCUCUCAACACAAAUUAAUUCUCCCUCAUGGUAGGCUUUGCAGUUAAGUAAGGAUUAAUAUUGCAUGUCGAGGAAAGAUAAAUGUAAAGAGGGUAAAAAUAACCUCUCAUGCAUUUAAUAAGACAUUGGAGACCAAGAAGCUAAGGCUCUGCAAAUACACGGUUUUGUCUACAUGCUUCUCAUAUAAGAGAUGCAUGUUGUGUUCUCUUCCAGAUGAUGUAAUCCUCAGGGUGACCCUCAUGUGCUUUUGCCAUCAUAUGACACUCCUCUACUGGAUAUACAAAGUUCCUUUGUGUACAGAUUCCUUAUUUAUAACUCUUAGAAUUUUGAUCAGAGCAUUAUUUUUUUUUUCUUUUUGCGGAGACUACUUUUAAUUUGAAGAUGAAGAUUUGGAGAUGGAUAUAACUUGUCUUUUGAGUAUUUAUGCAAUCUCAUUUUCAUGACUCUGAAACUGCAUCCUUUCAAUUACAGAUAAAGAAGUACUGCUUUAUUUCUCAUUCACAAGGAGAUUAAACCAGCAACUGCAAUAAAAAUUUAAAAUUUA